UCCCCAGUGGCUCAGCGGUAAAGAAUCCGCCUGCAGUACGGGAGACACGGGUUCGAUUCCUGGGUGGGGAA
Molecule: transfer RNA, 71 nt
Filed under: Ovis aries (sheep)
Lineage: Eukaryota; Metazoa; Chordata; Mammalia; Artiodactyla; Bovidae
Rfam family: tRNA
About the family: Transfer RNA (tRNA) molecules are approximately 80 nucleotides in length.
Source: Rfam by way of RNAcentral